RNAcentral lists this ribosomal RNA (255 nucleotides) under uncultured bacterium. Its description in RNAcentral is "partial 16S ribosomal RNA". It matches the Rfam family "Bacterial small subunit ribosomal RNA", at positions 524 to 776 of the family's 1533-position model. The record is from RNAcentral.
UACAGAGGUCUCAAGCGUUGUUCGGAAUUCAUUGGGCGUAAAGGGGUGUGUAGGUGGCGCCGUAAGUCGGGUGUGAAAUUUCGGAGCUUAACUCCGAAACUGCAUUCGAUACUGCGGUGCUUGAGGACUGGAGAGGAGACUGGAAUUCAUGGUGUAGCAGUGAAAUGCGUAGAGAUCAAUGAGGAAGACCAGUGGCGAAGGCGGGUCUCUGGACAGUUCUGACACUGAGACACGAAGGCCAGGGGAGCAAACGGG